Molecule: ribosomal RNA, 425 nt
Filed under: Metapenaeus ensis
Lineage: Eukaryota; Metazoa; Arthropoda; Malacostraca; Decapoda; Penaeidae
Description: partial 16S ribosomal RNA
Rfam family: Bacterial large subunit ribosomal RNA
Source: RNAcentral
UGACAUACGUUAAAGGGCCGCGGUAUUUUGACCGUGCGAAGGUAGCAUAAUCAUUAGUCUUUUAAUUGGAGGCUUGUAUGAAUGGUUGGACAAAAAAUAAGCUGUCUCUGUUUUAUUUCUUGAAUUUAACUUUUAAGUGAAAAGGCUUAAAUGUUCUAGGGGGACGAUAAGACCCUAUAAAGCUUUACAGUGUGCUAAUUAAGUUAUAAAUUGUUAGUAUAAACUUGGUUUGGUUAGUAGCUGUUUCGUUGGGGCGACGAAAAUAUAAUUGAUAGUAACUGUUUUUCUUUUAUAAUAACAAUAAAUUUUUGGUAGAAAUUGAUCCUUUAUUAAAGAUUAAAAGAUUAAGUUACUUUAGGGAUAACAGCGUAAUCUUCUUUGAGAGUUCAUAUCGACAAGAAGGGUUGCGACCUCGAUGUUGAAUU